Non-coding RNA from Rattus norvegicus (Norway rat), 6091 nucleotides. The record is from RefSeq and is a predicted model, not a curated record. NCBI's taxonomy places the organism in Eukaryota, Metazoa, Chordata, Mammalia, Rodentia, Muridae.
UUAUGAAUUGUCCUAUAUACAGGAUAUUUGCUAUGUGGCCCUGUGGAAGCUCUGAGAAUCGUUGCCCUAACCUAACCCUAUUGUAAGGUGCAGAGGCUUUAGGAAGCAGGGCAUAGAGGAAGAAUGUUAGGCUAUUGGAUCAGUUCCUUGAGGACUGGAUCAAUCCCUCCUCUUCCUGCUUUUUGUUCUCAGCCAUCAAGGGGUAAACAGUUGCCUCUGCUAUAUACUCCUACCUCAUACAGGCCUAAAAGCAAUGUGGUCAACCAACGAUGGACCAAAUGCUCCAAGACUGUGAGCCGGAUUAACCUUUCUUCUUCUUAAGUUGAUUUACCUCUGGUAUUUGUUACAGUCAAAGAAAUGUCUAAGAUAGUAGAUAACUCUAGGCAUGCACAGAUGGGAUUACAUAAUUCUUCUUACUAUUGAUACAAAAAUUUCCCUAUUAAAAACAUACAUAUUAAAUCCUCACUAUCAAAAUUAAAUGAUUAUCUCUAAGAGUUCUAGCACAAAUGUGAGGUGGAUUCACAUUUCGGGUGAUUCCGAUAAGUAAUGACUCCAGGGCAGAUAAGCAAGGGUUGGCCUCAUGUUAUUAGGAAAAGCUGGGAUUUAGUAAUAAUGCUAGCCCUCUACAUUAGUAAGUGCUUACAGAGAACAAAAGGCCUCUAAUAAGGGAUCUGCACUGAGGGAUUUGAUCCCCAAGAGCCCAACAGCAGGGAGAAAGGCAGUGGGUCUAUCCACUGAUCGGCCCAGGCAGUCUUGUGCAUCUCCUUGGUAAGCGGAGGAGGCCAAGUGCUAGCUAGGCCUGUGUACAUACAGGAAGCUACACGCCAUACUAUGACUUCAAGUUUAAUCAAAACACAUAAACAUGGAAAGAGCCAGGAAGAGUCUGCUAGCUGUGCAGAUGGCAAGCCCACCUUCCAGAAAGCUUGCUCAGUUCUGUAACUCACUACUGAGUGGAGUCCGUGAAUAAUACGGGGGCUGAGUUCUCCCCGGAUAAGGGAGGGAAUCUGUGAGCAUUGAGCUCAGAGCUUUCUCCAUAGCUGAUGCCCCUGCCCUGACUCAGUCUUAAAUUGUGACCCAGCAAAACGCUCCAGAUUCUCGCCACGAACUCAGAUAAUGAAGGCAGAAAUUUCAAAGUGGUGGAAGAUUCAGUACAGAGUCGACUCUGUGUCUGAAGUGCCUUCCUAUUCUCCUUUGCUUAUCUGCCUCCAGGGAGCUGUCUACCAGACCUGGUCCUGCAGUCCUGAGGAGGUGCAGCAAGCCUUUCCCCUUCCUAUUCCCAUCAUGCUCUGCUCAACUGCAGAUGCCAGAUACAUUUCCCUCUGAAAUACUCCUCCCUUCCUUCAAGGCACUCACUCACCAAAGACCCCAACCUCCCUAGUCUACAUUUUCUGUGAACGAUACCAUCUGUUUCUGCAAGAGGUCAAUACAAAUGAGAUAUGAUCUACAAUGAACACUUUAUAAUCGCUCUGAUUUCCAGUCAUGGACACAGGCCCCUCUAGGGAGCUCCUGAGAUGGCCCAGAUGGGUUACCGGGAGAGUCCUUUGAUCCACAGGGUCAGGGUCGCCAUGCUUAUGGUUCUCUGUAAGGGGCAGGUGCCACAUGUACUUCAGGAAAGCCCCUCGCUGUGCCAGAGACUCCUGACAGAGGCAGCUUCUUACAAGUGAAGAAAACCUCUUCCCCACAGAACCAGUUCUUCAGAGUAAACAUUUUCAGUAGCUGGGAAAGUCUCCUUCUUCGUUUUUAGGAAGUGGCAUUUUCUGUGGUCAGGCAAGUUUGACCUUCCCACCCAGAAGUUGACAGCAAACGUCGGCACCCAUGCAAUCAGACAGAGCUUGAAUGUAUAAUUUCCCUUCAUAACAGCCAACGAGACUGGGGUUCUUCAGAGAGGCUAAGAGGAAGCCAAAGUACCGACCUGUGCCCUCUGGCUGCCCACUGAUGGCACUGUCCACACAAGACAGAAAAGAGUUCACAAUUAUUCUAUACUCUAGCUUACUUCAAUUCUGGCCUCCUCUGCCAACCCUGGAAACAAGGGUCCACUUGUUUCUCCUGAUCUGACACACAAGGGCUUUUCCUAUACCCUACCACCUUUCUGUAUGCUCACUAAACCUGAAAGGGAUGGAAAGCCAGAUCCCCAUCCCUCAGAAGCCUUGCAGCCAGACUUCUGGAGACGGUUUUGGUCUAGCCAAUAAGACUCAUGUUUGUAAAAUUCAGAAAAAUGAAAGGGAGUUCGUACUUGAGUGGCAGCUGCUCAGAGCACCUGGCUUUUGUACAGUGGCUUUCAUAGCCACCGUUCCGGCUUUGGGGAGCAGUUUUCAUGGGUGCUGGGAGGUAAGACUGAGACAUUGGUUUGCAGGGUUUGCUCUGAUAGAUGUGGCAUGAUCUAGACCAGUCAUGGCUGUGGGACCAUUUCAAUCACCACAGUUGCAAAAUGGUUCUGAAAAAAAGCAGAUUUAGAGAGAGCAGUUUCCUGUAGGAAGCUGGUUCCUCUGUGGUCCAGUUCUUUAAUAUAUAUAGUUUAAGAGUUAUUCCUGAGAGCCAGAGAGACCUCCAUUCAGAGAACGGUGUCUUUGGAACAUUUGGUCGUUUCUCAAGCCAUCCUGUCCCCUACAAUAAGCCCCUUUCUUCUCUACCUUUCUAUAAUGGACUCUGCUUUUCCACAGCUGACCCUUGAACCACAGCCCGACUCAAGUUGUACUCCAACAAGGAGAAUCCUACUUUCCAGACUGGCCUUUCUGGUUGCAGAUUCCAAAGGUAGACCACCGUCUACAUUCCAUUCAGAUGAGAAGCCACCUGUGUGGCCGGCUGAGGCCACAAUUCUCAAGCAUGACUUGAAAGCUGUUUUUCUUACAACUGGAUGCUUCCUGAGCAGUAAUGAACUUGGGUCUCCUUGGGAAGAAAGGACAGUAUGAGCCCCUGUCAGCAACAGAAGCUUCGUCAACCAGGCAACAGCAGCUACAAGCCAAAGCAACACACCUGAGUUCUAACCCAACCCACGUAAAAGGUAAAGAAAUCCCGGUAGAAAAUGACAAUACAGUGCUUCGACAGCCAGCCGGGCUGACUGCAAUCCAACAGGUCCACGGAUUCUCAUAAGUGAACUGAUUUCCUUUAAAAGAUGAGGUCGGCUCAGCCUGAUGUGUUCACAGGAAGGCAUGCUCUACGGUCUACAGAGUCACCCUCUGCAACCCAAUAAACAGCAGUGGCUUCCCCCAAGGACACAGGGGAAUGAGCUGCAAGCAUAAAUGUCACAGGCGGGGGCUCAAAAAAAAACAGGCCUUCCAGAACAGCAUCACUGUAUUCUGAGGAUCAAGAAAAAAAAGAGAAGAAAAGAAAAGGAAAGGAAGCUCUGCCGGGUCCCUUUCCUACAGACACACACAUCAUAGGGUGCAGAAGCCACGUGACAUGAUUACAUUUGACUGGAUGGACCAGUGGAAAACCACAGUAUUAACAACAUAAUUCUGAGGAGAGGUUCAUCCUGCCAAAUGCAGGAGAUAAUCCUGAAAGCUUUGGACCAGUAGGCACAGCUUUCAACAUUAGAUUUAUACGCUGGAGUACCAGGACGGGAGAAAGGAUCUCCCUGCUCAUUGCUGCUCAACAUUUGUAAGCUACCCUAGGUCUUCAUCAUCAGGGCUCCUGGAUACAUACACUCACACACACACACACACACACACACACACACACACACACACACACACACACACACACACAGCCUAUAUAAAAUAGUUCACAUGCAGCUUAUAUAACUAGCUAUAUGCAUUUCUCUGUGGCCAUGUAAAUGUACCCAGGCACAUGGAUGUUUCUAGAGGUAAACAAGUCACCUCUGGGCAGUGUUCCUCACCUGCUACCCUUUCAACGUUUACGAUAUGCAUUUUAACGUAUUGGAAAACUUAGCCAUGAUUGUUUUUAUAAAAUCGCUGCAAGAGCCCACAGGCCCACAUCUCUGAAGGUCGCACUGCCAGCCUGGCCCCAUCACCAACAGGCUGGAAAGGCGGACAUGUUUCAUGGCUAUAAAACUGAAUACAAUAUAAGGCCAACGCUCUCUCCCUUUAGUCUUGUUGCACUGUCACGGCACUGAGUCAGGAUCCUCCCUGCUACAGUCACUGCCCCUAUUUUACCUGAACAAACACAGAGGUCCCAGGGGGCAAACAACUGAGGCCUGCCUGGGCCCUCAGGACAAAGAAGCGGGGUGUAGGAGUUGAACCCGAAUGGAGGAUUCUCUCCUGAAAGGCAUCCCUGCCUUUAUACAAUGGGGCUAUUGUGGGAAUUAUCCUCUCGGAAGGUGAGGCCAACAGAAGAAGGAACAUUGCCAUCCCAAAGCAGUAGGAGACUCCAGUUCACAGAGAUGGAACUUGAACUCAGCCAUGACUCCGUGUUCUGACUACUAGCAUAGCGGUGAUGUCGCUCUCCAGGAAUUCAUUCUACCUGGUCCUGCACUGGGGUCCCUGAUGUUCACAGCAGUCCUGGGUCUAUGACAACUUGCAUAAAUGGAUGUUCUAGAGCCCCAUACAAGGAGAACAGUCCUGUAGCAGGGCACAAGGCCACUCACUCUGGCAAUGACUGCUAGAACAAUAGUGCCAAGUCUUAGAAGGCCAAGAGCAGGUUUAUAGACCCUGAGCUGCCUUUUCAAAACACCGCACAUGUGCUGUCUGUCUGUCUGUCUUUCUGUCUGUCUGUCUAUCUAUCUAUCAUCUAUCAUCCAUCCAUCUCUGCCGAGAACCGAAAGAAGAAAAGCAACCUCCAAGGAAAAGAUUCCCAGACCUCAAAUAUACCACUCAGGCUAGGAAGGCUGAGAGUCAUCCGCCCGCUCUCUUGUUUGGGCCCUGACCCCACACACUGUUCUCACUGUGGCCUUGUUGACAGCUGGACAGGCCAGGCCGGCUUAUCCUUCAAUCCUUCAAGCACAGCAUGGCAGGAAUGGAAGGAAAUCCUUCCUAGAGACACCAGAGGGACCUUGCAGUCUUGGGUAUGCACUGUCAGUCACAAGUGAGACCGAUGACGAUGACUGGGUGACCACUACUACACUGAGCUCUUCUCAUUUCACCAGCUCAAAACACCACACAAAUGAUUGAGGAGAGGAAGUCAAACAUGAUGGCUUGGCCCUUGCAGGAUGAGGUGUUCUAGACGUCACAGCUGGCUCCUGCAGGAGCACUGGCCUCUGCUGAGCCACCAACAGAAGCUACAAUGGUCUUCAUGGGAUAUUCGCCCCCACCCAGAGGCCUGCCAAGAGUCAACCCUCAGCGUCCUCCAGGAGCCUCCAAAUCCUUUCCCAACUGCUUUGUAGCAUGCCAGCUUUCAAUCAAUGCAAAUGCAGUGACCAGUUAAUCUCAAUAAAACCCAAAUCCAUACUUGGCUCUAUUCCUGAGCAAUCUGUUUAGGGAAGUCCCUAAAUGGUAGGGUUGGAAUACAGCAAAUGCACACAUGUACACCCAAGACGCCGAGUAGAGGAGGCAGCUUGCAAAAUGCAUUCAAAUAUGAAUUCAAUAUAUGAAGCUUUUUUCCCUUUUUUCAACCCAACUAAGUCCAAGGAACCACACAUUUGAGCCAUGACAGCUCACCACACAUUGCUGUGGAGUGUGUAGUUAGUCUGGCUUUGGCCACUACACACUCGAUGCUUCCUGAGUGAUAGUUAGCCAUAUCGAAUACUGUCCAGUCCGUGUGAAUGGAGCUUGCUUGCUCCCACAGAAGCACUUCCUUCCAGAGGUGAUGAGAGAGAUGACCUGGAGUCAGCUGCUUGAAAAGUGCCAUGGUGAACUUUUAAAGCAGAAAGCCCAGUUCUGGCCAAGAACAGUGAGCAGUCAUGAAUUCCAGCUGGUAAGGUGGAGUUUGACGCCUAAUCCAGUGCUACCUGUAGGUGGAUUGGCCUGUGGGCAUGCCUGCGAGGCAUUUUCUUGACUGCUGAUUGUACGGCCCACUAUGGGUGGUACUAUCCCUAGUAAGUGGGUCUAGGCUGUAUAAGAAGGUGAGCCUGCAACCAAGUCAGUAAACAACACUCCUCCAUCGCUUUAUCCUUCAAGUUUCUGCCCUGCUAGAGUAUCUGACUUCGCUCAGUGAUGCCUUGCAAUCUGUAAGCUGAAAUAAAUGCUUACCUCCCCAA